UACAGAGGGUGCAAGCGUUAAUCGGAAUUACUGGGCGUAAAGGGCGCGUAGGUUGUUAUAUAAGUGAGAGGUGAAAUCCCCGGGCUUAACCUGGGAACUGCCUCUUAUACUGUAUGACUGGAGUGCAAUAGAGGGUAGUGGAAUUUCCGGUGUAGCGGUGAAAUGCGUAGAUAUCGGAAGGAACACCAGUGGCGAAGGCGGCUACCUGGAUUGACACUGACACUGAGGCGCGAGAGCGUGGGGAGCAAACAGG
This 253-nucleotide ribosomal RNA is filed under the name uncultured bacterium. RNAcentral's name for it is "partial 16S ribosomal RNA". It matches the Rfam family "Bacterial small subunit ribosomal RNA", at positions 524 to 776 of the family's 1533-position model. The record is from RNAcentral.